Long non-coding RNA from Oncorhynchus tshawytscha (Chinook salmon), 652 nucleotides. RefSeq lists it as uncharacterized. The record is from RefSeq and is a predicted model, not a curated record. NCBI's taxonomy places the organism in Eukaryota, Metazoa, Chordata, Actinopteri, Salmoniformes, Salmonidae. The transcript has 3 exons.
AACAAGACACUCAGCUGUACUGAUGAUGAUGAUGGUGGUAGUAUAAAGAAGACUGUGAUUUUCUCUGGGGAUCAAGAUCAUGAUUCUCAAGGUCAGUCGCUCCAGAUGCCUCAAACACACAGCAUAAUGAACAAUGAGAAUGACAGUUAAGAGACUAAAUUAAUGAAUGAAGAAAGUUGUCCUGUGUACCAGUCUUUUGUCCUGUACUGAUAACACAUGGCAUGGAUAACAUAGUGUAUGAUAAGUGUAUCUUUCUUCUGUAGGCCAUUGGCAUCCUGAGAGAAGCACUAGCUGGGGCUCACUUCAAAUCCCUCCAGAACAGGGAGGUCACAGCCAUUAUCGUUCACCAGGCUGCCAGCAGCGUCCCCACAUCUGACUUCCUCUCCAACACACACACGCUCAGACUGAGAGGCACACACACUCGGGCUUCUCCCAUCAGUGUCACUAGCUGAGAGACGGGCAGUAACGAGGGUUUGGCCAUGUCUCUCUGGGGUCAAAGUGAACGGUUGGCCAGACAGAAGAACACUAUGACCGCAGCAGACAGUGGCCACAACAGCAACAGUCGGACCGCAGCAGGAAGGAUUCGACCCCACCAAACCCUGGGACUAAACACCUCCCUCUGCAACUGGAUCCUGGACCUCUUGACGGGCCG